GAUUAAGUUAUUAAGGGCGCACGGUGGAUGCCUUGGCACUAGAAGCCGAUGAAGGACGUUACUAACGACGAUAUGCUUUGGGGAGCUGUAAGUAAGCUUUGAUCCAGAGAUUUCCGAAUGGGGAAACCCAGCAUGAGUUAUGUCAUGUUAUCGAUAUGUGAAUACAUAGCAUAUCAGAAGGCACACCCGGAGAACUGAAACAUCUUAGUACCCGGAGGAAGAGAAAGAAAAUUCGAUUCCCUUAGUAGCGGCGAGCGAAACGGGAAGAGCCCAAACCAACAAGCUUGCUUGUUGGGGUUGUAGGACACUCUAUACGGAGUUACAAAGGACGACAUUAGACGAAUCAUCUGGAAAGAUGAAUCAAAGAAGGUAAUAAUCCUGUAGUCGAAAAUGUUGUCUCUCUUGAGUGGAUCCUGAGUACGACGGAGCACGUGAAAUUCCGUCGGAAUCUGGGAGGACCAUCUCCUAAGGCUAAAUACUCUCUAGUGACCGAUAGUGAACCAGUACCGUGAGGGAAAGGUGAAAAGCACCCCGGAAGGGGAGUGAAAUAGAACCUGAAACCGUGUGCUUACAAGUAGUCAGAGCCCGUUAAUGGGUGAUGGCGUGCCUUUUGUAGAAUGAACCGGCGAGUUACGAUUUGAUGCAAGGUUAAGCAGUAAAUGUGGAGCCGUAGCGAAAGCGAGUCUGAAUAGGGCGUUUAGUAUUUGGUCGUAGACCCGAAACCAGGUGAUCUACCCUUGGUCAGGUUGAAGUUCAGGUAACACUGAAUGGAGGACCGAACCGACUUACGUUGAAAAG
This is a ribosomal RNA of 798 nucleotides. It matches the Rfam family "Bacterial large subunit ribosomal RNA", at positions 1 to 796 of the family's 2925-position model.